AUUAGAGGAAGUAAAAGUCGUAACAAGGUUUCCGUAGGUGAACCUGCGGAAGGAUCAUUAUUGAUUGCGAAUCGUUGUCUUCAGUGCUGGCCAGCUCUGGCAAGUGCACGUUGGCGGCUUUUCAUCCAAUACCCCUGUGAACCUUUGGCCUCUUGCUAGCUUUGGCUGGCAGAGGAUUUUUACACCCACUCGAAUGUAAUGAAAUUAUUGUUGUGCGCAAGCACUACUGUACAACUUUCAACAACGGAUCUCUUGGCUCUCGCAUCGAUGAAGAACGCAGCGAAAUGCGAUAAGUAAUGUGAAUUGCAGAAUUCAGUGAAUCAUCGAAUCUUUGAACGCACCUUGCACCCUUUGGCAUUCCGAAGGGUAUGCUCGUUUGAGUGUCAUUGUACUCUCACACUUCUGAUCCUUUUGGAUUGGGAGCGGUGGACUUGGGUGUUUGCUGCUUUACUGCGGCUCACCUCAAAUGCAUUAGUGCAACUCUUGGUUGGACAUAGUACGGCGUGAUAAGUAUCUUCGCCGGCACCUCGCAAGAGGGUGGCUGAUCAGGAGCUCUGUGCUCUCCAACUGUCUUCAGACAACAACUGACAACUUGACCUCAAAUCGAGUAGGACCACCCGCUGAACUUAAGCAUAUC
This 637-nucleotide ribosomal RNA is filed under the name uncultured Sebacina. Its description in RNAcentral is "eukaryotic LSU rRNA". The stretch from base 233 to 386 matches the Rfam family "5.8S ribosomal RNA". The record is from RNAcentral. Lineage: Eukaryota; Fungi; Basidiomycota; Agaricomycetes; Sebacinales; Sebacinaceae.